AGAGUUUGAUCCUGGCUCAGAUUGAACGCUGGCGGCAUGCUUUACACAUGCAAGUCGAACGGUAACGCGGGGGCAACCCUGGCGACGAGUGGCGAACGGGUGAGUAAUACAUCGGAACAUGUCCUGGAGUGGGGGAUAGCUCGGCGAAAGCCGGAUUAAUACCGCAUACGCUCUGAGGAGGAAAGCGGGGGACUCGCAAGGGCCUCGCGCUGCAGGAGUGGCCGAUGUCGGAUUAGCUAGUUGGUGAGGUAAAGGCUCACCAAGGCGACGAUCCGUAGCUGGUCUGAGAGGAUGAUCAGCCACACUGGGACUGAGACACGGCCCAGACUCCUACGGGAGGCAGCAGUGGGGAAUUUUGGACAAUGGGGGCAACCCUGAUCCAGCCAUGCCGCGUGAGUGAAGAAGGCCUUCGGGUUGUAAAGCUCUUUCGGACGGAACGAAAUGGUUACAGUGAAUAACUGUGAUUGAUGACGGUACCGUAAGAAGAAGCACCGGCUAACUACGUGCCAGCAGCCGCGGUAAUACGUAGGGUGCGAGCGUUAAUCGGAAUUACUGGGCGUAAAGCGUGCGCAGGCGGUUCGCCAAGUCAGGUGUGAAAUCCCCGGGCUUAACCUGGGAAUUGCGCUUGAAACUAGCGGGCUUGAGUGUGGCAGAGGGGGGUGGAAUUCCACGUGUAGCAGUGAAAUGCGUANAGAUGUGGAGGAACACCGAUGG
Molecule: ribosomal RNA, 714 nt
Filed under: uncultured bacterium
Lineage: Bacteria
Description: bacterial SSU rRNA
Rfam family: Bacterial small subunit ribosomal RNA
Source: RNAcentral